AAGAAGGCCCCCGCCCUCGUCAUCAAGCUGGACUUUGCGAAGGCGUUCGACUCUGUGAACUGGGAAUGCCUCCGACGAGUCAUGGAGGUGCACAGCUUCCCUGAGAAGUGGUGCGAGUGGAUGGAUGCUAUCCUUCAUUCCUCCUGCUCCGCCGUGCUGCUCAACGGCGUCCCAGGGGCGUGGUUCCCCGUCCGCUGUGGGCUACGCCAAGGGGACCCGCUGUCCCUACCUGUUCCUCCUGGUGGCCGACGUCUUGCAGCGGAUGAUCCGGUGUGA
Molecule: ribosomal RNA, 276 nt
Filed under: Triticum aestivum (bread wheat)
Lineage: Eukaryota; Viridiplantae; Streptophyta; Magnoliopsida; Poales; Poaceae
Description: partial small subunit ribosomal RNA
Source: RNAcentral